This 462-nucleotide ribosomal RNA is filed under the name Pontohedyle milaschewitchii. RNAcentral describes it as "eukaryotic LSU rRNA". It matches the Rfam family "Eukaryotic large subunit ribosomal RNA", at positions 586 to 860 of the family's 3401-position model. The record is from RNAcentral. Lineage: Eukaryota; Metazoa; Mollusca; Gastropoda; Acochlidiacea; Microhedylidae.
AAGGUAGGCGUCUCCUUCGGGCGACGCUGUUAUAGACCGCCCUGGUGAGCUGCUGCGGGACCGAGGGACGGCCGCGUUCUUCGAGGCCACCCGGCUUUCUCGGGGAGUUCGACUGGCAGAGACUGGGCAACCGUGUCUGCCGACCGCUUUCCGGGACCGGACCGGGCUGGCCGGGAGCGCUGAGGGUCGGUGGCGAAUCUGUCGGCAUUGCACCCGACCCGUCUUGAAACACGGACCAAGGAGUCUAACAUGCGCGCGAGUCAUUGGGUUGUACGAAACCCAAAGGCGCAGUGAAAGCGAGGGUCGCCCCGGGCUGACCCAGGUGGGAUCUUUCCGUUCUUCGGAGCGGGGAGCGCACCACCGGCCCGUCCCGUCCGCGUUGUCGGUGGGGCGGAGCAGGAGCGUGCACGCUGGGACCCGAAAGAUGGUGAACUAUGCCUGAGUAGAACGAAGCCAGAGGAA